CUUUAUGGCAGCACUCUAACUUAGUUCCGGAUGUGCCCCCAAUUCCCCCUUUUUUUCCAGACACAGCACUGAUGCCCACAGAGAUCUAUGUCGCUGUAUAUACUGAGGCUAGCCUAAUGAAAAUGAACACACAGACAGACCCCCGCCUGUGGGACCUUUUGUCUGUUGAUUUAGGCUCUAUCCACCCAUCCUUGUCCCUCUCACGGAUGUUAUUUUUGUCCUGGAAGCUUUUGUUUAUAAGCUGAGGUUUGCCACCAAGAGACAGAGGAUAGCGAUCAGUCAGACACUUUCCCUUCCAUGUCGGAUGCUCCCGACCGUGUGUCAUUGUGUCACGUGCUACUCUGUCACCAGCAGAACAUGUAAUAUGACUAUUGCUUAC
Molecule: non-coding RNA, 379 nt
Organism: Pelobates cultripes (western spadefoot toad)
Lineage: Eukaryota; Metazoa; Chordata; Amphibia; Anura; Pelobatidae
Source: the annotation of a GenBank genome assembly